Molecule: long non-coding RNA, 235 nt
Filed under: Linum usitatissimum (flax)
Lineage: Eukaryota; Viridiplantae; Streptophyta; Magnoliopsida; Malpighiales; Linaceae
Description: long non-coding RNA (LUSI_LNC000419)
Source: RNAcentral
CUGAUAUCGCUUGAACUCGCGACUGCGUCGCUCGUUAUCGACGAGGAUGACGAGUCUCUGUGGAGUGGCGCGGAGUUUCCGGUCUUGGAGUGCAUCGAUUUGAGAAACGGCUUGAAAAUCGCUCGAAAGCUUGCGAUGAAUCCUGAUUCUUCUCGUCUGCGUUCGGAUUUUCCUCUCUUCAGUUCCGGGUCGUUAGAUCGCUUGGACCGCUGCCGGCUCCGUAGCCUCCGGUUCC